CUCAGAUAAGUCAUCGGAGACAAUGACAAGAGUUGUCGGAACUUUAGGAUACUUGGCACCAGAAUACGCUGAAUGUGGCAAAGUGUCAACCAAGACAGAUGUUUAUUCUUUUGGAGUUGUGCUGUUGCAGCUAAUCACUGGAAUGAAGACCACAGACAAAAGACUUGGAGGGAAAAGCCUUGUUGGAUGGGUAAAACUCUUGAUAUCUGAAUAAAUUAUUAACUAUAUGAAAGAUAUAUACUCGUAUCUGAAACUAACCUGGAUCCGGAUAAUGAAAACUAUGGCCACCUAUCACAUAGCUAAGUUGUGCAGUGCCUUAAAUAACUCCAGCAGCUGAAGUGUAACACCAAGAAAAUGAGUAACACAUAGAAAGGUCAGAAAG
RNAcentral lists this long non-coding RNA (382 nucleotides) under Gossypium raimondii (Peruvian cotton). Its description in RNAcentral is "long non-coding RNA (GRAI_LNC009563)". The record is from RNAcentral. Lineage: Eukaryota; Viridiplantae; Streptophyta; Magnoliopsida; Malvales; Malvaceae.